This 501-nucleotide ribosomal RNA is filed under the name uncultured organism. RNAcentral describes it as "SSU rRNA". It matches the Rfam family "Bacterial small subunit ribosomal RNA", at positions 1 to 509 of the family's 1533-position model. The record is from RNAcentral.
CAACAGCUAGAGUUUGAUCCUGGCUCAGGAUGAACGCUGGCGGCGUGCCUAACACAUGCAAGUCGAACGGAGUGUUGAGAGCUUGCUUUUAACACUUAGUGGCGGACGGGUGAGUAAUGCGUGAGCAACCUGCCUUUCAGAGGGGGACAACAGUUGGAAACGACUGCUAAUACCGCAUAAUGUAAAUUUGGGGGCAUCCCCCGAAUUACCAAAGGAGCAAUCCGCUGAAAGAUGGGCUCACGUCUGAUUAGCUAGUUGGUGGGGUAACGGCUCACCAAGGCUGCGAUCAGUAGCCGGACUGAGAGGUUGAACGGCCACAUUGGGACUGAGAUACGGCCCAGACUCCUACGGGAGGCAGCAGUGGGGAAUAUUGGGCAAUGGGCGAAAGCCUGACCCAGCAACGCCGCGUGAAGGAAGAAGGUCUUCGGAUUGUAAACUUCUUUUAUGAGGGACGAAGGACGUGACGGUACCUCAUGAAUAAGCCACGGCUAACUACGUGCC